RNAcentral lists this long non-coding RNA (540 nucleotides) under Phaseolus vulgaris (common bean). RNAcentral describes it as "long non-coding RNA (PVUL_LNC004905)". Lineage: Eukaryota; Viridiplantae; Streptophyta; Magnoliopsida; Fabales; Fabaceae. The record is from RNAcentral.
AAAAUUUGGACGACACUACACAUAGUCUAUUCAAGAGCACAACUGACUACCAUGCUCUUCAAGCUUAAACAAAGACUACCCAUAACUAAGACUAGACACCACACAUAGAUAAGACGAAGUCUAGAAGAGUCAACAUAAGAAGAAGGUGUAGUGUACAUAUAAAUAUCACAAGACGCAACUGUGAAUUGUUUGAUCAUUUACUUGUUAUUAAUGUUGACUCAUGCAUUCCCAAUAUGAUUUUAACAUGGUAGACCAAGUUUGAGUUUGUAUACUCACUUUGGUAAUGUGUACCACAAAAGGAUUUGAAAACCAAAGGUUCUUACUUCACCACCAUCUUGGUUUAAAAAUGUUAGGGAUGAUUUUUUCAUACCUCCUAAUGGUUGUCACCAUUUAAGAGGACAUUUUCCAAAAGAUAUCAUCAUUCCUAAACAAAUAUUUCCAACUUGGUCGUUUUAUAGAACCUCCUUUUCUGAAAUCCCAUUGUUUCCAAAUGCUAAGUCAUGUUUUCCUUUUUCUUCCACUUUUAAUUGUAAGAAUAAA